GAUGAACGCUGGCGGCGUGCCUAAUACAUGCAAGUCGAGCGAACGGACGAGAAGCUUGCUUCUCUGAUGUUAGCGGCAGACGGGUGAGUAACACGUGGAUAACCUACCUAUAAGACUGGGAUAACUUCGGGAAACCGUAGCUAAUACCGGAUAAUAUUUUGAACCGCAUGGUUCAAAAGUGAAAGACGGUCUUGCUGUCACUUAUAGAUGGAUCCGCGCUGCAUUAGCUAGUUGGUAAGGUAACGGCUUACCAAGGCAACGAUGCAUAGCCGACCUGAGAGGGUGAUCGGCCACACUGGAACUGAGACACGGUCCAGACUCCUACGGGAGGCAGCAGUAGGGAAUCUUCCGCAAUGGGCGAAAGCCUGACGGAGCAACGCCGCGUGAGUGAUGAAGGUCUUCGGAUCGUAAAACUCUGUUAUUAGGGAAGAACAUAUGUGUAAGUAACUGUGCACAUCUUGACGGUACCUAAUCAGAAAGCCACGGCUAACUACGUG
Molecule: ribosomal RNA, 497 nt
Filed under: uncultured bacterium
Lineage: Bacteria
Description: partial 16S ribosomal RNA
Rfam family: Bacterial small subunit ribosomal RNA
Source: RNAcentral